Molecule: long non-coding RNA, 568 nt
Filed under: Homo sapiens (human)
Lineage: Eukaryota; Metazoa; Chordata; Mammalia; Primates; Hominidae
Description: HSALNT0093907
Source: RNAcentral
AGGGAACAAAGCCUUCUAAUUACCCAGGUGUCAAUCUAGUCCUCUCACAUCUGGCUUCCUGUGUUACUUUCCCUCCCUUCCCUAGCAAUGUAAGAAGCAGAAAAAUACUUUGAGUAUGAGUCUGAGGUAUGAAAUUUAUGCCCCGCAGGAUACAGUUUGGUUUAAAUUGCGUAAUUGAUCACAGAUCUAGAAUUUGGCAAUGUUCCUCUUUGCAGACUAGUUGCACAGGUACACAGUGGUGGGAAGGGAACAAUAAUUAUCACCUUGCUGGUUUUGACUUACCUUUGCCCGCAAAUGGAUAUAAAGCUGCAUUUCUUGGCAGAAAAUAGCCACACAGAGGAAAUGAACUACAAGGGUUAUGACUGGAAAGAAGACACGAAAGGGUCGAAAAAGGAAAAUGUUCAUUGGCUGGGGCCCCUGGAACAAAAGACAGAAAGAAAGAAUCAUAGAAAUGUGUAUGUUUUGCGUGACACUGGAGCCUUCAAUAGGAAAUGAAGACCCAAAGAAGUGCUUAAAACUGGGUUGCUUUAUGCUAGGUUUGAUGAAGAGUAGACGGUCAUGGGGAAAU